This 37-nucleotide ribosomal RNA is filed under the name Manekia naranjoana. Its description in RNAcentral is "partial 18S ribosomal RNA". The record is from RNAcentral. Lineage: Eukaryota; Viridiplantae; Streptophyta; Magnoliopsida; Piperales; Piperaceae.
UUUCCGUAGGUGAACCUGCAGAAGGAUCAUUGUUGAU